CCUACGGGAGGCUGCAGUGGGGAAUAUUGCACAAUGGGCGCAAGCCUGAUGCAGCCAUGCCGCGUGUGUGAAGAAGGCCUUCGGGUUGUAAAGCACUUUCAGCGGGGAGGAAGGCGGUGAGGUUAAUAGCCUCAUCGAUUGACGUUACCCGCAGAAGAAGCACCGGCUAACUCCGUGCCAGCAGCCGCGGUAAUACGGAGGGUGCAAGCGUUAAUCGGAAUUACUGGGCGUAAAGCGCACGCAGGCGGUCUGUCAAGUCGGAUGUGAAAUCCCCGGGCUCAACCUGGGAACUGCAUUCGAAACUGGCAGGCUAGAGUCUUGUAGAGGGGGGUAGAAUUCCAGGUGUAGCGGUGAAAUGCGUAGAGAUCUGGAGGAAUACCGGUGGCGAAGGCGGCCCCCUGGACAAAGACUGACGCUCAGGUGCGAAAGCGUGGGGAGCAAACAGGAUUAGAUACCCUAGUAGUC
This 465-nucleotide ribosomal RNA is filed under the name uncultured Klebsiella sp. RNAcentral describes it as "bacterial SSU rRNA". It matches the Rfam family "Bacterial small subunit ribosomal RNA", at positions 338 to 795 of the family's 1533-position model. The record is from RNAcentral. Lineage: Bacteria; Pseudomonadati; Pseudomonadota; Gammaproteobacteria; Enterobacterales; Enterobacteriaceae.